RNAcentral lists this ribosomal RNA (746 nucleotides) under Klebsiella pneumoniae. RNAcentral describes it as "partial 23S ribosomal RNA". It matches the Rfam family "Bacterial large subunit ribosomal RNA", at positions 419 to 1167 of the family's 2925-position model. The record is from RNAcentral. Lineage: Bacteria; Pseudomonadati; Pseudomonadota; Gammaproteobacteria; Enterobacterales; Enterobacteriaceae.
GGGACACGUGGUAUCCUGUCUGAAUAUGGGGGGACCAUCCUCCAAGGCUAAAUACUCCUGACUGACCGAUAGUGAACCAGUACCGUGAGGGAAAGGCGAAAAGAACCCCGGCGAGGGGAGUGAAAAAGAACCUGAAACCGUGUACGUACAAGCAGUGGGAGCACCUUCGGGUGUGACUGCGUACCUUUUGUAUAAUGGGUCAGCGACUUAUAUUCUGUAGCAAGGUUAACCGUAUAGGGGAGCCGCAGGGAAACCGAGUCUUAACUGGGCGUUAAGUUGCAGGGUAUAGACCCGAAACCCGGUGAUCUAGCCAUGGGCAGGUUGAAGGUUGGGUAACACUAACUGGAGGACCGAACCGACUAAUGUUGAAAAAUUAGCGGAUGACUUGUGGCUGGGGGUGAAAGGCCAAUCAAACCGGGAGAUAGCUGGUUCUCCCCGAAAGCUAUUUAGGUAGCGCCUCGUGAAUUCAUCUUCGGGGGUAGAGCACUGUUUCGGCUAGGGGGUCAUCCCGACUUACCAACCCGAUGCAAACUACGAAUACCGAAGAAUGUUAUCACGGGAGACACACGGCGGGUGCUAACGUCCGUCGUGAAGAGGGAAACAACCCAGACCGCCAGCUAAGGUCCCAAAGUCAUGGUUAAGUGGGAAACGAUGUGGGAAGGCACAGACAGCCAGGAUGUUGGCUUAGAAGCAGCCAUCAUUUAAAGAAAGCGUAAUAGCUCACUGGUCGAGUCGGCCUGCGCGGA